Molecule: transfer RNA, 74 nt
Filed under: Perkinsus olseni
Lineage: Eukaryota; Perkinsozoa; Perkinsida; Perkinsidae
Description: tRNA-Arg
Rfam family: tRNA
About the family: Transfer RNA (tRNA) molecules are approximately 80 nucleotides in length. Their secondary structure includes four short double-helical elements and three loops (D, anti-codon, and T loops).
Source: RNAcentral
GCCCGAUUAGUUCAGCUGGAUAGGAUGUCUGCCUACGGAGCAGAUGGUCGUAGGUUCGAAUACUGCAUCGGGUA